UAAGAGGUCCCGCCUGCCCGGUGACUUUAAUGUUUAACGGCCGCGGUAUCUUGACCGUGCAAAGGUAGCGCAAUCACUUGCCCUUUAAAUGGGGGCCCGUAUGAAUGGCAUCACGAGGGCUAAUCUGUCUCCUUUCUCCAGUCAAUGAAAUUGAUCUCCCCGUGCAGAAGCGGGGAUAAAACCAUAAGACGAGAAGACCCUGUGGAGCUUUAGAUACUAAGUCUGCCUCUCCUUUAACAUAAUCAACACAAUGAUAUCUAAAUAAGAGACACAGACAGACUAUCUUUGGUUGGGGCGACCGCGGGGACUAAAAUAACCCCCAUGUGGAGCAGGAAUACAAUAUUCCCAAAACCAAGAGUUACCACUCUAAUUAACAGAAAUUCUGACCUAAAAAUGAUCCGACAAAGUCGAUCAACGGACCGAGUUACCCCAGGGAUAACAGCGCAAUCCCCUUUAAGAGUUCUUAUCGACAAGGGGGUUUACGACCUCGAUGUUGGAUCAGGACAUCCUAAUGGCGCAGCAACUAUUAAAGGUUCGUUUGUUCAACG
RNAcentral lists this ribosomal RNA (548 nucleotides) under Pentapodus caninus (small-toothed whiptail). RNAcentral describes it as "partial 16S large subunit ribosomal RNA". It matches the Rfam family "Bacterial large subunit ribosomal RNA", at positions 1846 to 2586 of the family's 2925-position model. Lineage: Eukaryota; Metazoa; Chordata; Actinopteri; Spariformes; Nemipteridae. The record is from RNAcentral.